AUACGGAGGAUGCGAGCGUUAUCCGGAUUUAUUGGGUUUAAAGGGUGCGUAGGCUGUUUGGUAAGUCAGGGGUGAAAUGCCGUCGCUCAACGACGGAGCUGCCCUUGAUACUGCCGAGCUGGAGUACGGAUGCCGUUGGAGGAAUGAGUGGUGUAGCGGUGAAAUGCAUAGAUAUCACUCAGAACACCGAUUGCGAAGGCAUCUGACGAAUCCGUCACUGACGCGAAGGCACGAAGGCGUGGGGAUAGAACAGGAUUAGAUACCCUGGUAUUCCACGCCGUAAACGAUGAUGACUAACCGCCUGCGAUACAAUGUAGGUGGCCAAGCGAAAGCGAUAAGUCAUCCACCUGGGGAGUACGACCGCAAGGUUGAAACUCAAAGGAAUUGACGGGG
RNAcentral lists this ribosomal RNA (393 nucleotides) under uncultured bacterium. Its description in RNAcentral is "partial 16S ribosomal RNA". It matches the Rfam family "Bacterial small subunit ribosomal RNA", at positions 523 to 918 of the family's 1533-position model. The record is from RNAcentral.